ACACAUGCAAGUCGAACGAGAGAGAAGGAGCUUGCUUCUUCGAUCGAGUGGCGAACGGGUGAGUAACGCGUGAGGAACCUGCCUCAAAGAGGGGGACAACAGUUGGAAACGACUGCUAAUACCGCAUAAGCCCACGGGUCGGCAUCGACCUGAGGGAAAAGGAGCAAUCCGCUUUGAGAUGGCCUCGCGUCCGAUUAGCUAGUUGGUGAGGUAACGGCCCACCAAGGCGACGAUCGGUAGCCGGACUGAGAGGUUGAACGGCCACAUUGGGACUGAGACACGGCCCAGACUCCUACGGGAGGCAGCAGUGGGGAAUAUUGCACAAUGGGGGAAACCCUGAUGCAGCGACGCCGCGUGGAGGAAGAAGGUCUUCGGAUUGUAAACUCCUGUUGUUGAGGAAGAUAAUGACGGUACUCAACAAGGAAGUGACGGCUAACUACGUGCCAGCAGCCGCGGUAAAACGUAGGUCACAAGCGUUGUCCGGAAUUACUGGGUGUAAAGGGAGCGCAGGCGGGAAGACAAGUUGGAAGUGAAAUCUAUGGGCUUAACCCAUAAACUGCUUUCAAAACUGUUUUUCUUGAGUAGUGCAGAGGUAGGCGGAAUUCCCGGUGUAGCGGUGGAACGCGUAGAUAUCGGGAGGAACACCAGUGGCGAAGGCGGCCUACUGGGCACCAACUGACGCUGGGGCUCGAAAGUGUGGGUAGCAAACAGGAUUAGAUACCCUGGUAGUCCACACCGUAAACGAUGAUUACUAGGUGUUGGAGGAUUGACCCCUUCAGUGCCGCAGUUAACACAAUAAGUAAUCCACCUGGGGAGUACGACCGCAAGGUUGAAACUCAAAGGAAUUGACGGGGGCCCGCACAAGCAGUGGAGUAUGUGGUU
RNAcentral lists this ribosomal RNA (882 nucleotides) under uncultured bacterium. RNAcentral describes it as "bacterial SSU rRNA". It matches the Rfam family "Bacterial small subunit ribosomal RNA", at positions 51 to 946 of the family's 1533-position model. The record is from RNAcentral.